RNAcentral lists this ribosomal RNA (704 nucleotides) under Salmonella enterica subsp. enterica serovar Bareilly. RNAcentral describes it as "partial 23S ribosomal RNA". It matches the Rfam family "Bacterial large subunit ribosomal RNA", at positions 2244 to 2925 of the family's 2925-position model. The record is from RNAcentral. Lineage: Bacteria; Pseudomonadati; Pseudomonadota; Gammaproteobacteria; Enterobacterales; Enterobacteriaceae.
GUUGCGGACAGUGUCUGGUGGGUAGUUUGACUGGGGCGGUCUCCUCCUAAAGAGUAACGGAGGAGCACGAAGGUUGGCUAAUCCUGGUCGGACAUCAGGAGGUUAGUGCAAUGGCAUAAGCCAGCUUGACUGCGAGCGUGACGGCGCGAGCAGGUGCGAAAGCAGGUCAUAGUGAUCCGGUGGUUCUGAAUGGAAGGGCCAUCGCUCAACGGAUAAAAGGUACUCCGGGGAUAACAGGCUGAUACCGCCCAAGAGUUCAUAUCGACGGCGGUGUUUGGCACCUCGAUGUCGGCUCAUCACAUCCUGGGGCUGAAGUAGGUCCCAAGGGUAUGGCUGUUCGCCAUUUAAAGUGGUACGCGAGCUGGGUUUAGAACGUCGUGAGACAGUUCGGUCCCUAUCUGCCGUGGGCGCUGGAGAACUGAGGGGGGCUGCUCCUAGUACGAGAGGACCGGAGUGGACGCAUCACUGGUGUUCGGGUUGUCAUGCCAAUGGCACUGCCCGGUAGCUAAAUGCGGAAGAGAUAAGUGCUGAAAGCAUCUAAGCACGAAACUUGCCCCGAGAUGAGUUCUCCCUGAGACUUAGAGUCUCCUGAAGGAACGUUGAAGACGACGACGUUGAUAGGCCGGGUGUGUAAGCGCAGCGAUGCGUUGAGCUAACCGGUACUAAUGAACCGUGAGGCUUAACCUUACAACGCCGAAGCUGUU